AGGGCACCACCAGGAGUGGAGCCUGCGGCUUAAUUUGACUCAACACGGGAAAACUCACCCGGCCCGGACACUGGAAGGAUUGACAGAUUGAGAGCUCUUUCUUGAUUCAGUGGGUGGUGGUGCAUGGCCGUUCUUAGUUGGUGGAGUGAUUUGUCUGGUUAAUUCCGAUAACGAACGAGACUCUAGCCUAUUAAAUAGAUCGUUGGCUUACAAACGCCGGCGAGACUUCUUAGAGGGACAGGCGGCGAUUCAGCCGCACGAAACAGAGCAAUAACAGGUCUGUGAUGCCCUUAGAUGUCCGGGGCCGCACGCGCGCUACACUGAAGUGAUCAGCGUGCAUUUUGAAACCUACUCUGUCAAGAGUGGGGAACCCAAUGAACCUUCUUCGUGAUUGGGAUAGGGGAUUGUAAUUAUUCCCCUUGAACGAGGAAUUCCCAGUAAGCGCGAAUCAUAAGUCUGCGCUGAUUACGUCCCUGCCCUUUGUACACACCGCCCGUCGCUACUACCGAUUGAAUGUUU
RNAcentral lists this ribosomal RNA (519 nucleotides) under uncultured eukaryote. Its description in RNAcentral is "SSU rRNA". It matches the Rfam family "Eukaryotic small subunit ribosomal RNA", at positions 1161 to 1698 of the family's 1831-position model. The record is from RNAcentral.